This 2928-nucleotide ribosomal RNA is filed under the name Klebsiella michiganensis. RNAcentral describes it as "23S ribosomal RNA". It matches the Rfam family "Bacterial large subunit ribosomal RNA". The record is from RNAcentral. Lineage: Bacteria; Pseudomonadati; Pseudomonadota; Gammaproteobacteria; Enterobacterales; Enterobacteriaceae.
GGGUUGUGAGGUUAAGCGACUAAGCGUACACGGUGGAUGCCCUGGCAGUCAGAGGCGAUGAAGGACGUGCUAAUCUGCGAAAAGCGUCGGUAAGGUGAUAUGAACCGUUAUAGCCGGCGAUGUCCGAAUGGGGAAACCCAGUGCAAUUCGUUGCACUAUCGUUAACUGAAUACAUAGGUUAACGAGGCGAACCGGGGGAACUGAAACAUCUAAGUACCCCGAGGAAAAGAAAUCAACCGAGAUUCCCCCAGUAGCGGCGAGCGAACGGGGAGCAGCCCGGAGUCUGAAUCAGCUUGUGUGUUAGUGGAAGCGUCUGGAAAGUCGCAGGGUACAGGGUGAUACUCCCGUACACUAAAACGCACAGGUUGUGAACUCGAAGAGUAGGGCGGGACACGUGGUAUCCUGUCUGAAUAUGGGGGGACCAUCCUCCAAGGCUAAAUACUCCUGACUGACCGAUAGUGAACCAGUACCGUGAGGGAAAGGCGAAAAGAACCCCGGCGAGGGGAGUGAAAAAGAACCUGAAACCGUGUACGUACAAGCAGUAGGAGCCCACUAGUUGGGUGACUGCGUACCUUUUGUAUAAUGGGUCAGCGACUUAUAUUCUGUAGCAAGGUUAACCGUAUAGGGGAGCCGCAGGGAAACCGAGUCUUAACUGGGCGUUAAGUUGCAGGGUAUAGACCCGAAACCCGGUGAUCUAGCCAUGGGCAGGUUGAAGGUUGGGUAACACUAACUGGAGGACCGAACCGACUAAUGUUGAAAAAUUAGCGGAUGACUUGUGGCUGGGGGUGAAAGGCCAAUCAAACCGGGAGAUAGCUGGUUCUCCCCGAAAGCUAUUUAGGUAGCGCCUCGUGAACUCAUCUUCGGGGGUAGAGCACUGUUUCGGCUAGGGGGUCAUCCCGACUUACCAACCCGAUGCAAACUACGAAUACCGAAGAAUGUUAUCACGGGAGACACACGGCGGGUGCUAACGUCCGUCGUGAAGAGGGAAACAACCCAGACCGCCAGCUAAGGUCCCAAAGUCAUGGUUAAGUGGGAAACGAUGUGGGAAGGCCCAGACAGCCAGGAUGUUGGCUUAGAAGCAGCCAUCAUUUAAAGAAAGCGUAAUAGCUCACUGGUCGAGUCGGCCUGCGCGGAAGAUGUAACGGGGCUAAACCAUGCACCGAAGCUGCGGCAGCGACGCUUAUGCGUUGUUGGGUAGGGGAGCGUUCUGUAAGCCGUUGAAGGUGGCCUGUGAGGGUUGCUGGAGGUAUCAGAAGUGCGAAUGCUGACAUAAGUAACGAUAAUGCGGGUGAAAAACCCGCACGCCGGAAGACCAAGGGUUCCUGUCCAACGUUAAUCGGGGCAGGGUGAGUCGACCCCUAAGGCGAGGCCGAAAGGCGUAGUCGAUGGGAAACAGGUUAAUAUUCCUGUACUCGGUGUUACUGCGAAGGGGGGACGGAGAAGGCUAUGUUGGCCGGGCGACGGUUGUCCCGGUUUAAGCAUGUAGGCGGAUGUUCCAGGUAAAUCCGGAACGUUACUAACGCUGAGGUGUGAUGACGAGGCACUACGGUGCUGAAGUGACAAAUGCCCUGCUUCCAGGAAAAGCCUCUAAGCAUCAGGUAACAUCAAAUCGUACCCCAAACCGACACAGGUGGUCAGGUAGAGAAUACCAAGGCGCUUGAGAGAACUCGGGUGAAGGAACUAGGCAAAAUGGUGCCGUAACUUCGGGAGAAGGCACGCUGAUGGUAGGUGAAGUGACUUGCUCAUGGAGCUGAAAUCAGUCGAAGAUACCAGCUGGCUGCAACUGUUUAUUAAAAACACAGCACUGUGCAAACACGAAAGUGGACGUAUACGGUGUGACGCCUGCCCGGUGCCGGAAGGUUAAUUGAUGGGGUUAUCCGUAAGGAGAAGCUCUUGAUCGAAGCCCCGGUAAACGGCGGCCGUAACUAUAACGGUCCUAAGGUAGCGAAAUUCCUUGUCGGGUAAGUUCCGACCUGCACGAAUGGCGUAAUGAUGGCCAGGCUGUCUCCACCCGAGACUCAGUGAAAUUGAACUCGCUGUGAAGAUGCAGUGUACCCGCGGCAAGACGGAAAGACCCCGUGAACCUUUACUAUAGCUUGACACUGAACACUGGUCCUUGAUGUGUAGGAUAGGUGGGAGGCUUUGAAGUGUGGACGCCAGUCUGCAUGGAGCCAUCCUUGAAAUACCACCCUUUAAUGGCUGGUGUUCUAACGUGGGCCCCUAAUCGGGGUUGCGGACAGUGUCUGGUGGGUAGUUUGACUGGGGCGGUCUCCUCCUAAAGAGUAACGGAGGAGCACGAAGGUCAGCUAAUCCUGGUCGGACAUCAGGAGGUUAGUGCAAUGGCAUAAGCUGGCUUGACUGCGAGCGUGACGGCGCGAGCAGGUGCGAAAGCAGGUCAUAGUGAUCCGGUGGUUCUGAAUGGAAGGGCCAUCGCUCAACGGAUAAAAGGUACUCCGGGGAUAACAGGCUGAUACCGCCCAAGAGUUCAUAUCGACGGCGGUGUUUGGCACCUCGAUGUCGGCUCAUCACAUCCUGGGGCUGAAGUAGGUCCCAAGGGUAUGGCUGUUCGCCAUUUAAAGUGGUACGCGAGCUGGGUUUAGAACGUCGUGAGACAGUUCGGUCCCUAUCUGCCGUGGGCGCUGGAGAAUUGAGGGGGGCUGCUCCUAGUACGAGAGGACCGGAGUGGACGCAUCACUGGUGUUCGGGUUGUCAUGCCAAUGGCAUUGCCCGGUAGCUAAAUGCGGAAGAGAUAAGUGCUGAAAGCAUCUAAGCACGAAACUUGCCCCGAGAUGAGUUCUCCCUGACUCCUUGAGAGUCCUGAAGGAACGUUGAAGACGACGACGUUGAUAGGCCGGGUGUGUAAGCGCAGCGAUGCGUUGAGCUAACCGGUACUAAUGAACCGUGAGGCUUAACCUUACAACGCCGAAG